GGGGGCUGUUGCAAAGCUCUCUCAUGCACUUCACUCGGCAUGCUCUCUGGAGGUUUAGCACUGAUUCUGUGGAAGGCAGUACUCUUUUCCAGAAAUCCUGGAGAUGUUAAUGGGGGCUCAGCUUGGAACUGGGGAUCUCAAAUUCAACUUCAGAGACAACUUGAGAAGACCUGCAGUGAGUGACAGCUCAAGGCCUUGGCAAUGGCAUCACAGAACUUGAAACCAUUUGUCUGUUUAACCUGAGCACAGCCCCGUCAUGAUCAAGGAGUCGAUGGUGCCAGACUCAAGAAGGGAAUCCAAGGAUAUUGGAUUUUUUCACUUCUUAUGAUUCCUGAAGUAGAAAAAUACUUUCUGCCAAAAAUAACACUACCAAAUAACUUUCGACAGAAAUAGAGAGUUUCCUCAAAUCUUUUUCUAGAAACAUUUCAAUUCAUUAAUGUUGCUCCCUAA
Vicugna pacos (alpaca) is the source of this 450-nucleotide non-coding RNA. Lineage: Eukaryota; Metazoa; Chordata; Mammalia; Artiodactyla; Camelidae. The record is from RefSeq and is a predicted model, not a curated record.